GGGUAGAGGUCGCGGUAGUUAUGAGUAGAUCGGGGAAGGCGCUGACACGCCUAUGAUACCGAUUGAAGGGAACCACCGCCGAAGUGUUUGCAGCAGUCAGACUGCGGGCGCUGGGGCCGUAUCCGAAAGGAGCGGAACUGUCACACGGAGCUUUUCCAAGCUCGCCGUGUGUUGUGCUAU
This 180-nucleotide non-coding RNA is filed under the name Gorillibacterium timonense. RNAcentral describes it as "Lysine riboswitch". It matches the Rfam family "Lysine riboswitch aptamer". Rfam says of the family: Riboswitches are metabolite binding domains within certain messenger RNAs that serve as precision sensors for their corresponding targets. Allosteric rearrangement of mRNA structure is mediated by ligand binding, and this results in modulation of gene expression. The record is from RNAcentral. Lineage: Bacteria; Bacillati; Bacillota; Bacilli; Caryophanales; Paenibacillaceae.